UCUUUUUUUUCCUGACCCGAUCCAACUCUAACGGCCCAACCAUUCCAGUCGCCGACCUAGCCCAGUCCCCAUCACCCUUUUCCCCUUAACCCAAUACCAUAACAACAACAACCAACCCUUUCCUUACAAUUUCCACCGCUCCGUCCCAAACACUCCGACCCACUUCGGCCCACCAUCAAUAACCUUUGUAUCUCAUUCAGUAAAAUAAUACGCACAAUAUAGCAAACAUCUACAAUAGCCAUUUCAGCAUCAACAAUAUUCAGUAGCAACGACCAAAUCAACAUCAACGUUCAAACCCACCAACAACCGUUUCAACCCGACAACAACCCAGAAUUCGACAAACCGACCCAUCAACAACCCGAUAUGGACACCCAACCCUCGUUUGAACUUCAAAUGUCAAAUUUGUACAAACGAUUUAAAUUUAAAUUUUUGUACUAAUUAGUACUAAAUUCGUACAAAAUCCAGCUCAUCCCUUUUGUCCUCUUAUUUCAAAUUUAAAAUCUCUCAUGAAUAAUGCCAAUUUGCCCUUUUGAUUUGCUUAUCCCACAUCAGUUGGGAAUUCAAAGAAGACCCUCAAAUCCUUUCUAUAUAAAGACUUCUUUGGAGCAAAAUGGGACAAGUCUUAAAGGUUGAAGAAACUUUUGAGCAAAGAAGUCUCAUUUUUUAGUAUAGAAUUUUUUUCGUGAAAGUCGUCGAUUAUUGAAAAUACUCAGAGUCGUAGUGAAACUUUUCGGUAGUGGUUACGAUAACAUCGAAAGCUCGAGUUUCAUUUUGAUGCUCCGAAGCAGGUCGCCUCUUUCAAGGUUUUCAACCUAGCGGACCCCUUUUUUAAUCCGUACAUAAUUUAUACUCUUGCGGGCAAGGAGUGGACAUGUAGUUUAUAUUUGUGCCUUAAAGAGGCAUCUUCCUUCAAGGAUGUACUUCUUCAAGAACUUGAUGUUGAUAGGACCAAUUUUCACUCCAUCUGCAUCGACAAGCUUGUAAACGCUAUUUGAAUAUACUUCUUAUAUGACAUAUGGCCCAUCCCACUUUGGGGUGAAUUUACCCUUAGACUGAUGAGAAGUGAUAAUGGAUCUUCUUACUGCAAAUACUUGAUCUCCAACUUGGAAGCACCUCAAGCAAACUCUUCUGUUGAAAGAACGAGAUAGACGGGCUUGGUAACAUUCAAGAUUUUUUUGAGCCUCUAACCUCUUCUCAUCAAGAGCUUUUAACUCCACAAAACGCAACUUAACAUUUUCUUUAUCAGUGAUCCCUUCUUGAAUAGCCAGUCUCAAAGAAAGUAUUUGACGCUCAAGUGUCAGGACUGCUUCAACUCUAAAAAUAAGUGAAUAUGGGGUUGCUCGUGCUUGUGUGCGGUAAGUUGUUCUAUAUGUCCACAAAGCUUAUUUCAUUCGUUCAUGCCAGUCUCAUUUGGACUUGGAGAUGAAUUUCUUUAACAGAUUGCAUAAAGUCUUAUUAAAUGCUUCAGCUAGACCAUUGGCGACAACAUGGUACAUAGAAGACUUGUGCUGCUUGAAACCAAAGAGAUCAAAAAUCUUAUUCAUCAGCUUAUUAUCAAAUGGCUUGCCAUUGUAGGUUAUUAUAUAUUGAGGGAUUCCAAAGCGUUAGAUGAUAUUCACUCGAAUGAAAUUUACAACAUUCUCCUUCUUUACAUCUUUGAGAGCAAUAGCUUUGCCCUAUUUUGAAAAAUAAUGCUUUGCCCUAUUUUGAAAAAUAAUCUUUCGAGGCCAAGAUGUAUAAGUAUCCAUCAGAAGAUUUUGGUAGUGGCCCAACAACAUCCAUUCCCCAAGCAUUGAAUGGACAGGAUGCUACAGUUGGGCGUAAUACUUUAGGAGGUUGAUGUAUAAAACUCGCAUGGAAUUGACAAGCUUUGCAUCUUCUAGCAUAGUCCAAGCAAUAUUUCACCAUCGUUGGCCAAUAGUAUGCUAUUCUUUUAAUGUGAAAAUAGAGCUUCGGUCCAGACUGAUGCGAUCCACAAACUCCCAAGUGCGCUUCUUGCAAAGCUUGAAUUUCUUCUUCCUCUCCCAAAUAUCGCAAGAGUACUCCGUCAAACAAUCUUCUGUAUAACGUGUCUUUAUAGUAAAAGAAGCGAGGUGCACGACGACGAAUGUCAGUCCUUCUUCUUGGAUCUUCUGGAAGUAUUUCAUAACACAGGUAGUGGGUGCCGGAGCACCCCAAAAUUAUACAUGGGUCCGCCCCUGCACUAAUCUAUUACCACAUGGGCAGAGUUGACAACAACGUUCUUAGAGAGGUUUUACCCACCAUUCUGAAUGAUACAGCUGCGAGAUGAGAUAAACAAGUUCAAGCAAUUACUAGGAGAAGCCUUACGUGAAGCAUGACUGAGAUUUGAGAAGAUUAAGCAGUGUUCAUGGAUCGCUCGAUGAGGUACUUCUACAGGUUUCUAGAUGGGCUGAACACUGACUUUGAUGGACCACUCUUUUGCUGUCACAAGUGAGCUCUUGGACAAGAAGACUAAGAAUCAACAGAGCGUGGCACACUUGGGAAUCAUAGGGAAUCAUAAGUUGUCAGUGGUAGUGCCUACAAAGGGCAGGAACAACUAAAGAAAGAAGAGGAAUGUGACCAGGACAUGGCUCAGCUGAAAAUCCAAAUAGAUCUGAUCUUAGUUGCACGGAUGCGGAUCCAAAUGUUGGAUCCUUCAUGAUUGUUAAGAUUCGGGUAUAUGGAUCUAGAUAUGGAUAGGGGAGCGGGACUCCGCAAAAUAAAACUAAAAAUACAAAACAUAGCUAUAGAAAUAUGCAUAAUAUGAGACAUUGUGGAAACCUUAAAUGUAUCAUGUGCCUU
Long non-coding RNA from Capsicum annuum, 2802 nucleotides. RefSeq lists it as uncharacterized. Lineage: Eukaryota; Viridiplantae; Streptophyta; Magnoliopsida; Solanales; Solanaceae. The transcript is spliced from 2 exons. The record is from RefSeq and is a predicted model, not a curated record.